GUCAACCCAGGAAUGGGCUGCCACGCCCAUGCAAUUACACUAAUCAGAUCUGCAAUCGGUCGAUGGGGCACCGCCCCGCCAAACUAUGUUCUGUCUGCUUCUAUCCAUGCUGGAGUAUCAGUCGAGCAAGCGAUUCAAAUCCCAGAUUCGUACGCAGACGUCGUUUCGCCAAGGCAGGACACUCCAUUGCGUGGGAGGAAGAGAGGCUGGGGCCGUGGGCAUGUAGGAACGCCCCCCGAAAUAAUUGCUCCGCAACCUGCAAGGCAACCUCCACUGCAGCCUCUACCACAACCUCCACUGCUACCUGAACAACCUAAACUGCAACCAGCACCUGCAUCGAUUCCUCCACAGGAGCCACGAUGUCUGGUAGGACGGCAGAAAAGUUGUUUUUUUUGUGAACCCACCUCACCACCAAACGGGUUUAAAAUUUCAUGUUGGUACAUCGACGCAGCAACUACUCAGUGUCAACAUGCAAUCACGAUUUUAAGCGGGAUGGCGGCUCUUCCUGCGACGAGCCUGAUAACUAAGUGAGUUUUCAAUUUUUUGCCAGUACACUGAAAAUAGGUAUAUGUAGUAAAUCAUUCUUGGAAUUAAAGGGAUUUUUCUUUAAGAUUUUACUCCUCUUUCAGGUUAGUCAUUCAAGAAAAUCAGCUUUUUACAAUUUUUGUUUUUACCCAUCUUCUCAAGUAAGGUCUAUGAGGACAAGAUUCAAAAAGUUCCCUGAGAAAAUCUGCCCAAAAAGUUUUUCAAUAGUGCAAUGACCUGGCUGUUUAUUUUUGUUAUGUUAAAUUUUCUGAUUCUGAGGACACUUUUUGUAUUUGUCAACUGAGAUAUGUUUCGAAAUAAUGCGGCGAGAUGAAACGGAUGCUACAGAUCCAAAUUUUCGGAAGUGAGAUUUUGUCAAUUGGAAAUGUGGAGCUUGUGGUGACAAAACGGUUGCCAAUGAGAAUUAGGUACGAAACUUGUGUAACUUUAAUGAUGAUGGUAUUAUCCUCCAGAAAAUUUUGAAGAGAGAUUUCAUGCAUGUUCAUUUCACCUUCAUAUCCUUGAAAUUGAGAUAAGAGAGCUUUCGAAGGGAAAAUGGCAAAUUAAAUACGAAGAUUUCCCAUUGAUAAAGGGUAUAAGCCUUGGCCUGAUUGAAUUAAAUCAAGUUUUCAGAACGUUAAUGAAGUCCUAGACUAUUUGCAUUCCACUAAGGUGAUGUUUUGAAGCCAAAGCUGAAGAAGGAAUAAAAGUAAUGGAAGAUUAUUGAGUUUCUUCAAAGAGCCCCUGGUAAAGCAGUUCAUUGUUCAGUGGACUUGUGUAUACAGAAAACUUCAUCCAUCUAGAAAUAGGCAGAUGACAGUGAAUGACAUAAGAGACACGUAUGUUCUUUGUAGGAAGAGAGAAAAAAACUUUUGGUGAGGCAGCGGUUGGUAAUAAUAGAAUUACUUUUUUCAAUCUCAAGGUGUGUGAUCCUCUUGACCAGUGAUGUUUUUAAUCCUUGGCUUAUCAUGAGUUAUACAAAUUUCAAUCGUUUCAUGCAGAGGCCGCUCAUGUCCAUUCUUCCAGUCUUGAGUUUUUUUGAGUCCAUAAUAGAUUCGAGAGUUGAAUUUAAUGAUGAAUGUGGCGUUAUUACUCGUUUUACACUUUGAUGGUGGUGUCCAAUCUUGAAAAUUAUUAUAAGCACAAGAAAACUAAAAGCUGGAAAAAUAUACAUUACAGACUUUCACACGACAUGACUCAAUUACGAAAUGAUAAAUGCCAGAAAAGAUGAAUUAUGAAACUUAGAAUGGACCACCAGACAAGGUGCAAAUUUCAGCAUUUUGAUACAUGUUUCUCAAUCAACAUUUCACGUAAAACACGAUGCGCACAAGGAAAAUUACCGAAAUCACAUCCUUACGAAGAUAUUCAAUAAUUCUUGAUGCGUGAAUUCAAACCACCCGCUUAUGAAAACUCAAUGCUCUUUGUGAUUCACAUCGCGCGCUAAAUGUUUAUCAUGACAGUCUCUGAGAUAUAAAAAUCUGGCAACCUCAAUCUCGAUGCUUUGGUUCAGCUGUAGCAAAUUGCUUAUAGUUUGAACAACACAUGGUGGGAAUUGAACAUUGCUCGAUUGAGAAGAUUGCUGAAACCGUUGUAGUGCGGGUUUGACUCAUGUAGAGCUUUGAGUUUCUUGUGAGCGGCAGUUCAAAUUCCUCGUAACCAAUGUGAAAUAAAAAUGUUAAUAUCUCCGUUAGGAGUUGGUUUCAGUAAUUUUUGUUGCGCGAAUCGUGUUCUACGUGAAAUUCUGGUUAAGAAACAUGUAUCAGAAUGCUAAAAUUCGUACCUUGUUUAGUAGUCCAUUAUGGGUUACAUAACUUAGCAACACCUCAUAAGGAACAGGGUUGCCACAGUCCGGGAAUUGUAUAAAGUCAGGGAAAACCGGGAAAUGUCAGGGAAGUUGAAUCUUCUUUAUUUGCUUUCUAAAAUGGGUUUGAGGUCUCGAACUAAACAUUUUGCCCAAACACUAUUUUCAAUUAUGUCCUCUUAGCCAUUUGCCAUAUCUUCAAUUGUCAGGAAAUUUCACCAAAAUGUAACAGGGAAAUGUCAGGGAAUUUCAUUUUCCAAUUUUUGUGGCAACCCUGUCUGAUCGAAUGACUCUUAAUUUAAUAACCGGAACUUGCUCUGCUAUACCACUUAUUUGACAGUUGAUGAUUAUUUAUUUUCUCAUGUUUUCAGAUGUUUGAAGCAGGCAGCCUAGAACACAUGUCUUGAAAGAAAAUGCCAACUAUUUUCGUUCAUCAAUGAUUACUUUUAGACAGAAUUGACUUCUCUCUUACUGCCCUUUUUAAAAUAUAUAUAUGUAUUUGUUUAAAUUUAAUGGUCAUUUUGUUUACUUGCUAAUUUUAAUAUUCAGUUAUUAGUGUUUUGAAUGCGUCAGUGAGUUGCUAGUGUAACACUGAUUUUUGUUCCUAAUUUUGGAAACUUGAAUAAAUUUCAUGCGCUCAUGUAAACAAGCUCGUUCUUAGACUAACAGUGCAACUAUGGCAAAUUUCACCUGAGCCUUUCUUUAGCACGUUUAACCCAUAUUUUGUACUUGUAUCCCCUUGAAAUAUCAUUACGUUAGUGAGUCAACAGAGUAAUGCUGAUUUUUAUUCCUAUUUUCGGAAACUUGAAUAAAUUUCAUGCGCUCAUGUAAACAAGCUCGUUCUUAGACUAACAGUACAAAUAUGGCAAAUUUCACCUGAGCCUUUCUUUAGCAUGUUCAACCCAUAUUUUUUACUUGUAUCCCCUUGAAAUAUCAUUAUGUUAGCAAGUCAACAGGGAAUUACUGAUUUUUUGUUUUGUUUUCAAGAACUUAAAUAAAUUUUAUUUUUUCUAC
RNAcentral lists this long non-coding RNA (3340 nucleotides) under Bemisia tabaci. Its description in RNAcentral is "lncRNA ENSASIAIIG005613". The record is from RNAcentral. Lineage: Eukaryota; Metazoa; Arthropoda; Insecta; Hemiptera; Aleyrodidae.